UUUUUUAAGAGUUUGAUCCUGGCUCAGGAUGAAUGUUGGCGGCGUGCCUGAGAUAUGCAAGUCGAACGUCCAGUCGCAAGACUGGAGUGGCGGACGGCUGAGUAACACGUAGGAAUCUUCCCCAAAAUAAGGGAUAGCUCGUCGAAAGACGGGGUAAUCCUUUAUGGUCCCGGCCUAGCUGGGUAAAGUGCUUAACUGCACGUUUUGGGAUGAGCCUGCGGCUUAUCACGGUAGUUGGUAGGGUAACGGCCUACCAAGCCUAUAACGAGUAGCUGGUCUUAGAGGAUGGUCAGCCAGAGGGGGACUGAGACACGGCCCCCACUCCUACGGGAGGCAGCAAUCAGGAAUAGUCGGCAAUGGGCGCAAGCCUGACCGCGCGACGCCGCGUGUAGGAAUAAGCUCUAACGAGCGUAAACUACUGUGGUAAGGGAAGAAGUUCCGCCUUUGGCGGGAUUGACGGUACCUUACUAGAAAGGGGCCGCUAACUGCGUGCCAGAAGCGUCGGUAAUACGUGGGCCCCAAACAUUAUCCGGUUUUACUGGGUGUAAAAAGUAGUGUAGGUGUUCUUUUAAGUUUUGUUUCAAAUUCUACGGCCUAACCGUAGACAGGGGCAAAAUACUGAAAGAAUUGAGUUUUCUUUAGGGAGAUUGGAACUCAGGGAGGAGUAGUGAAAUGCGUUGAUACCCUGGGGAACACCAGUGGCGAAGGCGAAUCUCUGGAAGAUAACUGACACUGAGACACGAAAGCUAGGGGAGCGAAGCAGAUUAGAGACCUGCGUAGUCCUAGCUGUAAACGCAUGCUUGCUAGCCGCAUUUUUUGACCUUCGGGUCACAAGGUGUAGCGUAGGUAACCCGUUAAGCAAGCCACCUGGGGAGUACGGCCGCAAGGUUGAAACUCAAAGGAAUUGGCGGGGAGGCACACAACCAGUGGAACAUGUGGUUUAAUUCGAAACAAACCGAAGAACCUCACCAGGGUUUGACAUGGAAGAGUUCUAGUCCGAUGAAAGUCGGAUGAUUCGCAAGAAGGCUUUCACAGGUGCUGCAUGGCUGUCGUCAGCUCGUUCCGUGAGGAGUGCCCUUAAGUGGGACAACGAGCGCAACCCUUGUCUUGUGUUAAAUCUAUCACAAGAGACUGCCCUGAUAUUUUUAUCGGGGAGGAAGGAGAGGCAGACGUCAAGUCAGCAUGGUCCUUAUACCCUGGGCUACACACAUGUUACAAUGGGAAGAACAACGAGGGCUGCCAAGUCGCAAGACCGAGCAAAUCUCUUAAAUCUUCCCUCAGUGGGGAUUGAGGUCUGCAACCCGACCUCAUGAACGCGGAAUUGGUAGUAAUCGCGGAUCAGCUACGCCGCGGUGAAUACGUUCUUGCCUCUUGCACACACCGCCCGUCAAGCCAACAAAGUCGGGGAUACUUGAAUUUCGCGUAAGCGAGAGAGGGUAUCGCCGGCGAUGGGGGUUAAGUCGUAACAAGGUAACCGUUCUGGAAGGAGCGGUUGGAUCACCUCCUUU
Molecule: non-coding RNA, 1508 nt
Organism: Candidatus Roizmanbacteria bacterium
Lineage: Bacteria; Candidatus Roizmaniibacteriota
Source: Rfam